This 468-nucleotide ribosomal RNA is filed under the name uncultured bacterium. RNAcentral's name for it is "partial 16S ribosomal RNA". It matches the Rfam family "Bacterial small subunit ribosomal RNA", at positions 28 to 507 of the family's 1533-position model. The record is from RNAcentral.
GACGAACGCUGGCGGCGUGCUUAACACAUGCAAGUCGAACGGAAAGGCCCUGCUUUUGUGGGGUGCUCGAGUGGCGAACGGGUGAGUAACACGUGAGUAACCUGCCCUUGACUUUGGGAUAACUUCAGGAAACUGGGGCUAAUACCGGAUAGGAGCUCCUGCUGCAUGGUGGGGGUUGGAAAGUUUCGGUGGUUGGGGAUGGACUCGCGGCUUAUCAGCUUGUUGGUGGGGUAGUGGCUUACCAAGGCUUUGACGGGUAGCCGGCCUGAGAGGGUGACCGGCCACAUUGGGACUGAGAUACGGCCCAGACUCCUACGGGAGGCAGCAGUGGGGAAUAUUGCACAAUGGGCGGAAGCCUGAUGCAGCAACGCCGCGUGCGGGAUGACGGCCUUCGGGUUGUAAACCGCUUUCGCCUGUGACGAAGCGUGAGUGACGGUAAUGGGUAAAGAAGCACUGGCUAACUACGUG